RNAcentral lists this ribosomal RNA (474 nucleotides) under uncultured organism. Its description in RNAcentral is "partial 16S ribosomal RNA". It matches the Rfam family "Bacterial small subunit ribosomal RNA", at positions 333 to 798 of the family's 1533-position model. The record is from RNAcentral.
ACACUCCUCCGGGAGGCAGCAGUGGGGAAUUUUGGACAAUGGGCGAAAGCCUGAUCCAGCAAUGCCGCGUGAGUGAAGAAGGCCUUCGGGUUGUAAAGCUCUUUUGUCAGGGAAGAAACGGUGAGAGCUAAUAUCUUUUGCUAAUGACGGUACCUGAAGAAUAAGCACCGGCUAACUACGUGCCAGCAGCCGCGGUAAUACGUAGGGUGCAAGCGUUAAUCGGAAUUACUGGGCGUAAAGCGUGCGCAGGCGGUUUUGUAAGUCUGAUGUGAAAUCCCCGGGCUCAACCUGGGAAUUGCAUUGGAGACUGCAAGGCUAGAAUCUGGCAGAGGGGGGUAGAAUUCCACGUGUAGCAGUGAAAUGCGUAGAUAUGUGGAGGAACACCGAUGGCGAAGGCAGCCCCCUGGGUCAAGAUUGACGCUCAUGCACGAAAGCGUGGGGAGCAAACAGGAUUAGAUACCCCGGUAGUCCCAU